GGAACCCGGUGUCAAUCCGGGGCGGUCGCGCCACUGUGACUGUCUACCAAUCAUGGGACAGAAGCCAGAAC
Molecule: non-coding RNA, 71 nt
Filed under: Ditibartonella apis
Lineage: Bacteria; Pseudomonadati; Pseudomonadota; Alphaproteobacteria; Hyphomicrobiales; Bartonellaceae
Source: RNAcentral